AGUGAACGCUGGCGGUAGGCCUAACACAUGCAAGUCGAACGGCAGCACAGUAAGAGCUUGCUCUUACGGGUGGCGAGUGGCGGACGGGUGAGGAAUACAUCGGAAUCUACUUUUUCGUGGGGGAUAACGUAGGGAAACUUACGCUAAUACCGCAUACGACCUACGGGUGAAAGCAGGGGAUCUUCGGACCUUGCGCGAUUGAAUGCGCCGAUGUCGGAUUAGCUAGUUGGCGGGGUAAAGGCCCACCAAGGCGACGAUCCGUAGCUGGUCUGAGAGGAUGAUCAGCCACACUGGAACUGAGACACGGUCCAGACUCCUAAGGGAGGCAGCAGUGGGGAAUAUUGGACAAUGGGCGCAAGCCUGAUCCAGCCAUACCGCGUGGGUGAAGAAGGCCUUCGGGUUGUAAAGCCCUUUUGUUGGGAAAGAAAAGCAGCAGGUUAAUACCCCGCUGUUCUGACGGUACCCAAAGAAUAAGCACCGGCUAACUUCGUG
Molecule: ribosomal RNA, 492 nt
Filed under: uncultured bacterium
Lineage: Bacteria
Description: partial 16S ribosomal RNA
Rfam family: Bacterial small subunit ribosomal RNA
Source: RNAcentral